This 639-nucleotide ribosomal RNA is filed under the name Sparticola muriformis. Its description in RNAcentral is "eukaryotic LSU rRNA". It matches the Rfam family "Eukaryotic large subunit ribosomal RNA", at positions 260 to 919 of the family's 3401-position model. The record is from RNAcentral. Lineage: Eukaryota; Fungi; Ascomycota; Dothideomycetes; Pleosporales; Sporormiaceae.
ACGAGUCGAGUUGUUUGGGAAUGCAGCUCUAAAUGGGAGGUAAAUUCCUUCUAAAGCUAAAUACUGGCCAGAGACCGAUAGCGCACAAGUAGAGUGAUCGAAAGAUGAAAAGCACUUUGGAAAGAGAGUCAAAAAGCACGUGAAAUUGUUGAAAGGGAAGCGCUUGCAGCCAGACUCGCCUGCGGUUGCUCAGCCGGGCAUCAGCCCGGCGCACUCUUCCGCGGGCGGGCCAGCAUCAGUCCGGGCGGGUGGAUAAAUACCUGCUAAAUGUACCUCUCCUCGGGGAGGACUUAUAGGGCAGGUGUCAUACACCCAGCCUGGACUGAGGUCCGCGCAUCUGCUAGGAUGCUGGCGUAAUGGCUGUAAGCGGCCCGUCUUGAAACACGGACCAAGGAGUCUAACAUCUAUGCGAGUGUUUGGGUGUCAAGCCCGAGCGCGUAAUGAAAGUGAACGGAGGUGGGAACCCCUCGGGGUGCACCAUCGACCGAUCCUGAUGUCUUCGGAUGGAUUUGAGUAAGAGCAUAGCUGUUGGGACCCGAAAGAUGGUGAACUAUGCCUGAAUAGGGUGAAGCCAGAGGAAACUCUGGUGGAGGCUCGCAGCGGUUCUGACGUGCAAAUCGAUCGUCAAAUUUGGGCAUA